This 1470-nucleotide ribosomal RNA is filed under the name metagenome. Its description in RNAcentral is "eukaryotic LSU rRNA". It matches the Rfam family "Eukaryotic large subunit ribosomal RNA", at positions 1835 to 3401 of the family's 3401-position model. The record is from RNAcentral.
CGCUCGGUCGUACCGAGAUCCGCAUCAGGUUUUUCCAAGUUUCGCAAACUACAGUCGAUAGAAGAACGGAGAUAAGGGAAGUCGGCAAAAUAGAUCUGUAACUUUGGGAUAAAGAUUGGCUCUAAGGACUGGGUCUGGUCGUUUUGUUUCUGUUUCUUUUGCCUUGUUUUUUCUCUUCUUUUUUAGGUUCGCAAGGACUUGAGGAGGAGGGGGAGAGAUGGGGUGUUUGAGAUGGGGGCAAGUUAUGGCGGCUGGACGUGAAACAGUCAACUUAGAACUGGAACGAACAGGGGGAAUCUGACUGUCUAAUUAAAACAUAGCCUUGAGAAGGAGCAAAAAGCUUGUUGACUCAAGGUGAAUUCUGCCCAGUGCCCUGAAUGUCAAAAUGAAGAAAUUCAACCAAGCGCGGGUAAACGGCGGGAGUAACUAUGACUCUCUUAAGGUAGCCAAAUGCCUCGUCAUUAAAUUCGUGACGCGCAUGAAUGGAUCAACGAGAUUCCUACUGUCCCUAUCUCCCAUCUAGCGAACCCACAGCCAGGGGAACGGGCCUGGCAGAAACAGCGGGGAAAGAAGACCCUGCUGAGCUUGACUCUAAUCCGGCUUUGUGAAAUGACUUGAAAGGCGUAGAAUAAGUGGGAGCUUCGCGGCGACAUUGAAAUACCACUACUUCCAAUGUUAUUUUACUUAUUUAGUGAUGUGGAAAGGUUCUUUACUGAGCCGUUCAAACCUUCUGGACUUAACGGGGCUGCGCCUCGGCGCGGUCCCGGAUCCAAGCUAAAGACAUAGUCAGGCGGGGAGUUUGGCUGGGGCGGCACAUCUGUAAAACAUUAACGCAGGUGUCCAAAGUGGGGCUCAUUGAGAACAGAAAUCUCAUGUAGAACAAAAGGGUAAAAGCCCCAUUGAUUUUGAUCUUCAGUACUGAUACAAACGGUGAAAGCCUGGCCUAUCGAUCCUUUGGUCUUCCGGAAUUUGGAACUAGAGGUGUCAGAAAAGUUACCACAGGGAUAACUGGCUUGUGGCAGCCAAGCGUACAUAGCGACGUUGCUUUUUGAUCCUUCGAUGUCGGCUCUUCCUAUCAUUACGAAGCAGAAUUCGUAAAGUGUUGGAUUGUUCACCCAUUAAAAGGGAACGUGAGCUGGGUUUAGACCGUCGUGAGACAGGUUAGUUUUACCCUCCUGUUGACGUCGCUCCCCGAUAGUAAUUUAACUUAGUACGAGAGGAACAGUUGAUUCGCGCAAUUGGUAAUGCGGUUGGCUGACCAGCCAGUGCCGCAAAGCUAUCACGCGUCGGAAAAUGACUGAACGCCUCUAAGUCAGAAGCCCUGCUAGCCUAAAGGGAGCGUCAAAGCUGUUUGGCCGGCGGUCGCAAGGCCGCUGCCAAAAGAUCAUGCUGUUUCGGGACGACCGAGCGGUGCCGGGCGUGCCUUCAUGUUGAUUUAUUUACUGUGUAUCGAUAGGUCGCUCGCUUUGU